GACGAACGCUGGCGGCGUGCUUAACACAUGCAAGUCGAACGGAAAGGCCCUGCUUUUGUGGGGUGCUCGAGUGGCGAACGGGUGAGUAACACGUGAGUAACCUGCCCUUGACUUUGGGAUAACUUCAGGAAACUUGGUCUAAUACCGGAUAGGAGCUCCUGCUGCAUGUUGGGGGUUGGAAAGUUUCGGCGGUUGGGGAUGGACUCGCGGCUUAUCAGCUUGUUGGUGGGGUAGUGGCUUACCAAGGCUUUGACGGGUAGCCGGCCUGAGAGGAUGACCGGCCACAUUGGGACUGAGAUAAGGCCCAGACUACUACGGGAGGCAGCAGUGGGGAAUAUUGCACAAUGGGCGGAAGCCUGAUGCAGCAACGCAGCGUGCGGGAUGACGGCCUUCGGGUUGUAAACCGAUUUCGCCUGUGACGAAGCGUGAGUGACGGUAAUGGGUAAAGAAGCACCGGCUAACUACGUG
Molecule: ribosomal RNA, 468 nt
Filed under: uncultured bacterium
Lineage: Bacteria
Description: partial 16S ribosomal RNA
Rfam family: Bacterial small subunit ribosomal RNA
Source: RNAcentral